UACGAAGGGGGCUAGCGUUGCUCGGAAUCACUGGGCGUAAAGGGUGCGUAGGCGGGUCUUUAAGUCAGGGGUGAAAUCCUGGAGCUCAACUCCAGAACUGCCUUUGAUACUGAGGAUCUUGAGUUCGGGAGAGGUGUGUGGAACUGCGAGUGUAGAGGUGAAAUUCGUAGAUAUUCGCAAGAACACCAGUGGCGAAGGCGGCUCACUGGCCCGAUACUGACGCUGAGGAGCGAAAGCAUGGGGAGCAAACAGG
This 253-nucleotide ribosomal RNA is filed under the name uncultured bacterium. RNAcentral's name for it is "partial 16S ribosomal RNA". It matches the Rfam family "Bacterial small subunit ribosomal RNA", at positions 524 to 776 of the family's 1533-position model. The record is from RNAcentral.